Mitsuokella multacida DSM 20544 is the source of this 128-nucleotide non-coding RNA. Lineage: Bacteria; Bacillati; Bacillota; Negativicutes; Selenomonadales; Selenomonadaceae. The record is from Rfam.
GAUACGAUACGACUCCGAGCGAAAUCCGCUAAGGCCGGACAUCAUGGGCUGGCUAUGUGGAUGAGCCAGGGUCCCGGGGGAAACGCCGGGGCCUUCCGUGAUUGAAAAGGGGCGAAAUCCAAGGGGCG